Molecule: long non-coding RNA, 397 nt
Organism: Bos taurus (domestic cattle)
Lineage: Eukaryota; Metazoa; Chordata; Mammalia; Artiodactyla; Bovidae
Source: Ensembl
CACUAACAUUCUGGAAAUGAGAGGAACAUAUUUUUUUUUAACAUUUGGUAGCUAAAGUUACAAACAUUGAUAUCUGCAGCAGCAAGUUCUCGGUUUUGCCACUUGUUUUACUGCCAUGGAAUCAACUAACAUUGUCUAUGGGCUCCAAUGUGAGUACAACAGCUGGCAUCGAGUGACCAGGCAAGAAGAGUUACUGACUGGAGGAGGGAAGAUGGUAGAACUGAAGGAUCACCAGCAACAGGAGAUGGAGGGCAAGCUGCAACAUCACUCAUGCCUGACGUUGAUGGAACAUACAUUCCCAUCUUUGAAAGUUCAAAACGUGACGAUUUGUAUGUAGGGAACUUAUUAAUGCUUUUAUUAUAAACUGUUUUUGAACAAUAAAUAUACAGUAAUUUUA